GAAUGAUUAGGCAAGUGUCCCCUUCCUCCUUCACUGUUCAGGUGAGUUCCUUCCAGAGUUGCGUGUUCUGUGGAAGACAAAGAUCUUCCCCAAGAAAGGAGGACCAUUCUCGGGUCAGGGGGAUCUGAGUGGCUGUGCAUCUUUGCUCGGACCUCCAAGUAAGCCCUGAGGCUCCAUUAGUAGGGGAGUGUAAGAGAGUUAAGUUCCCAAGACUUAACACAUCUAAAUGAGGCACUGUAUGUGACAACAUGUCUUUGCU
Molecule: small RNA, 259 nt
Filed under: Microtus ochrogaster (prairie vole)
Lineage: Eukaryota; Metazoa; Chordata; Mammalia; Rodentia; Cricetidae
Description: 7SK RNA (ENSMOCG00000006072.1)
Rfam family: 7SK RNA
About the family: 7SK was discovered as an abundant small nuclear RNA in the mid-70s but a possible function has only recently been suggested. Two independent studies have found that 7SK RNA binds the CDK9/cyclin T complex (known as elongation factor P-TEFb).
Source: RNAcentral